This is a long non-coding RNA of Gracilinanus agilis (Agile Gracile Mouse Opossum), 283 nucleotides long. RefSeq lists it as uncharacterized. Lineage: Eukaryota; Metazoa; Chordata; Mammalia; Didelphimorphia; Didelphidae. The transcript has 3 exons. The record is from RefSeq and is a predicted model, not a curated record.
GUAACAUGUAGCCUUCGUGAUAUGUAACAAGUCCUGGGCGAUGUUUUCCUUUGAUCGCUGAGUGGCUGCUGAGCUUCUUCUCGUGGAAAGGAUUGUUUGUGCUAUUGACUAAAGGAGCAUCUUCUGAAAAGCAUUUUAUUUUUAGCUGGAUUUCUUCCCCAUUUGAUUUACCUCCUUGAAGCACACUGCCAGGCACAAAGGAGACACUUAACAAAUGUGUGGUGAAGCUUGGCCCAAAAGAGAUGAGGACUUGCACUUCCCUUUCUGCUUCCCAGGUGGAGGA